UAGGGAAUCUUCCGCAAUGGACGCAAGUCUGACGGAGCAACGCCGCGUGAGUGAAGAAGGAUUUCGGUUCGUAAAACUCUGUUGUUAGAGAAGAACAGCGCAUAGAGUAACUGUUAUGCGUGUGACGGUAUCUAACCAGAAAGCCACGGCUAACUACGUGCCAGCAGCCGCGGUAAUACGUAGGUGGCAAGCGUUGUCCGGAUUUAUUGGGCGUAAAGCGAGCGCAGGCGGUCAAUUAAGUCUGAUGUGAAAGCCCCCGGCUCAACCGGGGAGGGUCAUUGGAAACUGGUUGACUUGAGUGCAGAAGAGGAGAGUGGAAUUCCAUGUGUAGCGGUGAAAUGCGUAGAUAUAUGGAGGAACACGAGUGGCGAAGGCGACUCUCUGGUCUGUAACUGACGCGGAGGCUCGAAAGCGUGGGUAGCAAGCAGG
This 429-nucleotide ribosomal RNA is filed under the name Bacteroidota bacterium. RNAcentral's name for it is "Bacteroidetes bacterium partial 16S ribosomal RNA". It matches the Rfam family "Bacterial small subunit ribosomal RNA", at positions 355 to 776 of the family's 1533-position model. Lineage: Bacteria; Pseudomonadati; Bacteroidota. The record is from RNAcentral.